This 1715-nucleotide ribosomal RNA is filed under the name Triticum aestivum (bread wheat). RNAcentral describes it as "partial small subunit ribosomal RNA". Lineage: Eukaryota; Viridiplantae; Streptophyta; Magnoliopsida; Poales; Poaceae. The record is from RNAcentral.
GGUACUAUAUAGGGGGAGUAAUGUCAGAGGCUGGUCUUGCUCCGCUUUUUUUUUUUAAAGGAGGGGCAAAAUGUGAGAUCUGAAACUGGGGACCAGACGACCAGGUAUUUAGUGAUGUGUCAAAAAUAAACAAAGAGAAAUAAAUCGAGCGAUGUAUGGGACAUUGGAUGGAGAUCCGGUCGACGUAAUUGGUAACUGGAACAUAGCAAUCUGGUCACCUGUACAGUAGAAGCUCACGGACACGUAGUGGAUUCCAAGCAGAGAACCUCCUCCAAGUAUCCAAGCACAGUCUCCCUCACGCAGCUGUGCAAACACUUCACCGCGACCCCUAUUUAAGCUUGCUCUCAUGGCGUGGACAAUUCGUAGCACCCAGGAACCAAGCUAGAUAAGAAUCCUCUGCCCUGCCUUGGAGGCUCGACUCGACCAUGCCGUCGCCGAUCCUGCCGGCCAAGGAGGUGGAGGAGGUGGUCACCGCCAACGAAGAGGUGACAGACAUCAUCGUCCAGAGGGUGCCCUACUGGGACCCUCCGACGGUCCGGGCGCUGGACACGAGCGAGCUGACCACCUGGUCCCUCUACCGCGCCCUCAUCGGCGAGUUCACCGCCUCCCUCAUCCUCCUCUACGUCAGCAUCGCCACCGUCAUCGGGUACCGGAACCAGUCCUCCGCCGCCGACGAGCGGUGCACCGGCGUCGGCUACCUCGGCGUCGCCUGGUCCUUCGGCGCCACCGUCUCCGUCCUCGUCUACUCCACCAGCGGCGUCUCAGGUGGGCACAUAAACCCGGCGGUGACGUUCGCGCUGUUCAUCGCCGGGAAGGUGACGCUGGUGCGCUCGGUGCUGUACGUGGCGGCGCAGUGCCUCGGCGCCGUCGUCGGCGUGGGCAUCGUGAAGGGGAUCAUGAAGCACCCCUACGACGACUUCGGCGGCGGCGCCAACGCGGUGGCCGGGGGCUACUCGCUCGGCGCGGCCCUCGGCGCGGAGAUCUUCGGCACCUUCGUCCUCGCCUACACCGUCUUCUCCGCCACCGACCCCAAGCGCACCGCCCGCGACGCCUUCGUCCCCCUGGUGGCGGCGCUGCCGAUCGGGCUGGCGGUGUUCGUGGUGCACCUGGCGACCAUCCCGAUCACCGGCACGGGCAUCAACCCGGCGAGGAGCCUGGGCGCCGCCGUGCUGUACAACCAGCACAAGACCUGGAAGCAGCACUGGAUCUUCUGGGUCGGGCCCUUCACCGGCGCGGCCCUGGCGGCGUUCUACCACAAGAUCGUGCUGCGCGACGAGGCGGUGGUGAAGGAGUCGCUAGAAAAGCUGGGCUCGCUCAAGAGGAGCGGCUCGACCGCUUGAAGGUCGGGGAGAGGAGACCAUGCGCCACGCAUGCAUGCAUAUACAGUAUUUUUCAUCGGUGUAAAGAGGAUCGAAAAGUUGUUGGAUAAUUAUAAGCGUGUCUUGAUGUGCGCCGUUCGUCAUGAUGCUUAUCAAUUGGUCCAUUUGGAACGAGCGAAAUGCCCAGAUUUUCCGGAAGAAAUCAAUGCCACCUCCAAUCAUCGUUGAAAACAUCAAGAGUGAUGCUGAUCUUUGGAAAAUCACGGGAGCUAAACAUUUGAGUGAUAUCUUACCGGGGGACUAGUCCCCUUUCAUAAUAAAUUUGGUUCUUUUUUCGCUUCAAAACAUUGUCUUGCUAUCCUUAAUUAAUAGACGAGCCAAAAAACUUGUCUUCAU